Molecule: ribosomal RNA, 253 nt
Filed under: uncultured bacterium
Lineage: Bacteria
Description: partial 16S ribosomal RNA
Rfam family: Bacterial small subunit ribosomal RNA
Source: RNAcentral
UACGUAGGGGGCAAGCGUUGUCCGGAAUUAUUGGGCGUAAAGCGCGCGCAGGCGGUUUCUUAAGUCUGAUGUGAAAGCCCACGGCUCAACCGUGGAGGGUCAUUGGAAACUGGGGAACUUGAGUGCAGAAGAGAAGAGCGGAAUUCCACGUGUAGCGGUGAAAUGCGUAGAGAUGUGGAGGAACACCGGUGGCGAAGGCGGCCUUCUGGACAAUGACUGACGCUGAGACGCGAAAGCGUGGGGAGCAAACAGG